AUUGAACGCUGGCGGCAGGCUUAACACAUGCAAGUCGAGCGGGGUGAUGGUGCUUGCACUAUCACUAGCGGCGGACGGGUGAGUAAUGCUUAGGAAUCUGCCUAUUAGUGGGGGACAACAUCUCGAAAGGGAUGCUAAUACCGCAUACGUCCUACGGGAGAAAGCAGGGGAUCACUUGUGACCUUGCGCUAAUAGAUGAGCCUAAGUCGGAUUAGCUAGUUGGUGGGGUAAAGGCCUACCAAGGCGACGAUCUGUAGCGGGUCUGAGAGGAUGAUCCGCCACACUGGGACUGAGACACGGCCCAGACUCCUACGGGAGGCAGCAGUGGGGAAUAUUGGACAAUGGGGGGAACCCUGAUCCAGCCAUGCCGCGUGUGUGAAGAAGGCCUUAUGGUUGUAAAGCACUUUAAGCGAGGAGGAGGCUCUUUUGGUUAAUACCCAAGAUGAGUGGACGUUACUCGCAGAAUAAGCACCGGCUAACUCUGUGCCAGCCGCCGCCGUAA
RNAcentral lists this ribosomal RNA (502 nucleotides) under uncultured bacterium. RNAcentral describes it as "partial 16S ribosomal RNA". It matches the Rfam family "Bacterial small subunit ribosomal RNA", at positions 30 to 523 of the family's 1533-position model. The record is from RNAcentral.